Molecule: long non-coding RNA, 2077 nt
Organism: Parus major (Great Tit)
Lineage: Eukaryota; Metazoa; Chordata; Aves; Passeriformes; Paridae
Exons: 3
Source: RefSeq, a predicted model, not a curated record
GUAACAGCCCUCCAUUCAUACCUCUCGCUAAUUACAAAAAGGGUGGUGCUUGAAUCCCAGCCAAAUUCCAGCACAGCCCACACCUGGCUAGAAUCAUGCUUUAUUUCUGGCUGUGGAGAGCAGGGAUUCCUCUGUAACCCUGUCCCUUUCUGGGGUAGGGGUCUCAGCUCUCCCCCUACAGCACCUGAACCUCCCCAAGAAGGAGGUGAAGGUUGGGGUAGGAGCAGUUUCCUGGUGUCCCACAGCAUCCUGGAGGGGUUUUCCUUGGUGUUGAUGGAGCCAGGAACGUCCUGGGAAGCAGAGACAACUCCACACCACUGCUAUCUUUCCAGACAGCAGAGCCAGCCCGGGACCUGCAGCACGUGCACAUUUACACCUUGUCCUCAUCCCAGCUCCUCUGCCCGAGGUAAAUGCAGAAAAGGGAGGUGAUAAUGGAGCUCCUGAUUACCCAGACUAGGGUGAGCGAAGACAGGAAUGCUGGCGAGAAGCUUCCCCCACCCCCCUCUUCCAAAUCAUAUAUUUUUCAAGUUCACAUCAAUUACUUCUGUUUCCAACUGGAUAAAUUUGAAUGAGACACCCUUCUGUAAUCUGCUGACAAGACAGUGAAGCAUUUUUUGUUAGCACCUCCUGAUGCCAUCUAAAUUGGGUGUUUGCAGGGAAGAAAUGUAGCGUGCAGUUAGGAAAGAUGAAAAAGCAGAGGAAGGAGAGGAAGGGGAGAUGUUAUUUGGAGCCUGUGUUAAGGGGGGAGUGCUGGGCUCUCGUGCAGGGAGCACGAGGCUACAGCUGAAUGAUGUGUAGAGGUGAAACCAAAGGGUCUGUGGGUUGUCUGGCUCCUUCUGGUGAAAUUUCUCUGAGGAUUGGAAGGGCCAAAGGGAAUAUUCUUGCUAACAGGAGUGGUAGAACUGUCUGCACCCUCUGCUCUGGGUACCACAAACUGAAUAAGCACCAUAAAUGUGGUACAGUCAAAAUACACCUGAAUUUAGGCAGGUGCUCAUCAAGAGUUCUCUUCUUAGCCUAAAUUCAUAAUAGAUAAGAGAGGAAAAAAAAUGCUGAAUCCAAACUGUUGGAGGCUGCAUCCUUAACUUUCUGCCGAGGAUGGCUGUGCCUCACUUAGCCUGGGGAGCUGCUUUGGCAGUGGGUGUGCUUGUAAUGUGUUUUCAGUGCUUUUCUCCAAAAAAGAUGCAGAACUGCCUGUGAUGGAUGUGGAAUAGGGAGGGAGAGGGAGAUGGUCCAGGGAGCUGUGCAGGGCAUCUGCCACCUCACUGAGCAUCUCCGUGGUGGAGAUGACACCUCUGGGAGCAGGAGAAGAGAAAAGGUGAAGCUAAAAUCAUGGCACAGUGUUGCUACAACAACCUCUCUCUGCAGCAGAGAUUUGCCAUAGCAAUAAACUUUAACAAGAGGGAUUUGGGAUUGGUGUGUUCCUCGUAAAUCCUCUCAGGCCGGCUGUUUGCUGCCAAGGCUUUGGGGAGGGUGAGUGAUAACAGAUCUCCCUUGGUCUCAGGGAGCAGCUGGAGAGAUCCCAUUGCUGAGGAGGUACAAUAAAUGGAAUUGAUUUGUGCUAACUAAAUUAUAACUAUUUGGAAAGUUAUGAUUAGAAGCAAUCAAAAGAGUCAGUGUUACAAGGCAGAUGUACCCCUUUACAGAUGUUACAUGUUAAAAUUGAGGUACACGAUGUAGUUUUGAGAUAAGUGAUGUCCCAAGAUGAGAUCAACCUUGAGAUGGACAAAGUUGGAACGACUUUAGGCAUAGGGCCUGAAAAUUAUAAAAUGUAAGACUAAUUAGUGGACUUAGCAUAGUACAGUGCUUAGUAUGCACACACAAACCUGUGAGGCCAUCCAGAGGACAGUGAGGAUGAGUGUAAGCCUUCGUCCAAAGACCACCAAAAGAAGACUGAAGACCCCCUAACAACAAGUGAAGCAUGCACCAUGAAGAAAUGUGACAUAAAGUCAAAAAAAUCGGAAAUAGGAGGAAACUUGUGGGAAACAUUAAUAAAUAUGUAUAAGCAUACAGUAUAUAAGUUUAAUUUGAAUUGUUUUGUUUUGUACAUGAGGCAGGGUGGGAAGCCCUCUCUGGACCC